CUAGCGUGUACAAAACACCAACAGAAGUAUUAUAUUAUAUAAUAUCAAAAGAAAAGCAAAAAUGUGACUUUUUAUACGUGUCAAUGUAUUACCCCUAGUAGAUUAAAGAAAGGAUAUUUAUUUGAUUACGUGUUAAUAUCCCUUUAUACUUUUUUAAUUAAUCUAAUCUCCCGUCAGCCAAUCAAAUCACUACACGAGUAAAGAGCAAGAUACAAACCAGCUUUUUGUCUGCGUACACGUGUCAACGUCAGGGCAAAUCUUUAUCGAACAAGGAAAACCUCAGCCACUAGAAGCAGAUUCUUGGGUUUUAUGGAAGAUGAUUCGCACGUGUACAAGAUUGGACACGUGUGUUCACGCCAUUGGUUGCGGUGAAGAUGAGAGUUGCUGGGAGCAUACGAAGAGUAGGACUCUUAUUUCACUUCACUUUUUUGGAUGGGCCCCACCCGAAGUUUAAUCCGGUGUGGCAUUGUCGUGGUCCCACCGCACAUGGUGUCUUGACAUUAGAUGCUGACGUGGAGAUCUAAUUGGAUUUAACAUUUGUUGAUAGCGAUAUCGGUUUCUCCGCCUGGACAAGAAAAGUUCGGCAAAAAAUCGGAUAGAAGACUUUUGAAUUCUUUUUAAUAUAUAUAUUUUCCCGUCACUCUUCCUCAAAAUUCAGCUUGAAAAACUAGGAAAAAAAAAUCUUUCUCAGGCAUUAGGCUCCACCAAAUGACCAGUAAAAUUAUUUUCUUGGACCAAUAAUGUUGAUGAUGUUGCAAGGGCUGAAUACCAAUAUGCAAUCUUGGGAAAUUUUUUAUAAAUUUUUUUUUAUGGGAUUAUGUUAUAUUCUGAUUACAACAUGUCGUAUAUCAAAGGUAAUAUUAGAGUUAAUGUAUGAAAUUUGAUAAGAUUUUAAUUUUUAAUAUUCAUAAAUUUGUAAAUAUAAUAUUAAAAAUAUAUUCAUGAUUUUAUUUUGUAAUUAUCAGUCUCAAUUAUAUUAUCGUAUUAAAUUGAUAAAUAAUUAUACAUUUUAGUGUAAAGCAAAUAUUUCUUAUGAUAGUGUAAAAUCUUAUUCAUAUUCUAUAUAUCACAUAUGAAAUAUUUUCUAAAGCUUUUGCCAAUAAAUAUUAUAUGUGAGUUAAAUUCUUUUAUUACUAUUUUUUUUAUCUCGUAUUAUUAUUUGUUAUUAUUCAGCAACAAAUAUUUUAUGGAAUAAAGUUUGAUGUAUCAAUUUCAUAAUGGAGUAGGGCAUGAUGAGUUAUUGCACAAAGAUGGAUAUAGUGGUUGUUGCAGCUAGCGAACAAGAUACUGAUAAGAAAUAGAAAGUGAAGCAAAUGGGCCAACAAAAAUUGUCAUCCACAAAUAACCCAAUAAAAAAUAUAAUACCAAAAAAUAUAUUUAAAAAAAUCUUUUGAAUAACUCCAUGGAGAUAAAACUCGGCGAUUAUUUGAAAAGUGUUUUUAAGAGUAAAAUUGACAACACAGCCGAGGAAAAGAAAAGUAAAAAUGCUGACUAGGAUCUAGAGAGAGAAAGAGAAAAGAAAAAGAAAGAGAGAAGAAUCAAAAAGAGGCAAGGAGAGAAAGAUAUCUUUAAGGCCACAAGGCAAAUUUGUGGCUGAGAAUCCUCCUGGUUGCUGACGUGGCACCCCACCUGCUUAAACGGAUCAAUAACGUAGACUCCACGAGACGACGACAUCUACAAAAAUUUGGUUACUGAUAUUUGAUCCCCUAAGGUUUUUAAUUUAUGAAACAAGAGUAUCUACUACUCAUUUAUAUCAAAUUAGUCCUUAAUUCCAACUGAAAUGACUAAAAUACCAUUAGUGCUAUGUUAUAUUCUGUCCAUUACAUUAAACAAAAUUUGACAUGGAUAGUUAAAAAGGACAAAAACUUAGAUGAUAAAAAUGAUUGUAUUGAGUCUAAUUUCACACGGUCAAGCCAAAAUUUAUUAUAUAUUAUAU
This 1936-nucleotide long non-coding RNA is filed under the name Citrus x clementina. RNAcentral describes it as "Citrus clementina (C. clementina) long non-coding RNA (CCLE_LNC002141)". The record is from RNAcentral. Lineage: Eukaryota; Viridiplantae; Streptophyta; Magnoliopsida; Sapindales; Rutaceae.